GACGAACGCUGGCGGCGUGCUUAACACAUGCAAGUCGAACGGUAAGGCCCUUCGGGGUACACGAGUGGCGAACGGGUGAGUAACACGUGGGUGAUCUGCUCUGCACUUCGGGUUAACCCUGGGAAACUGGGGCCAAUACCGGAUAGGACCACCGCCUGCAAGGGGGGUGGGGGAAAUCAUUUGCGGUGUGGGAUGGGCCCGGGGGCUACCAGCUUGUUGGUGGGGUGAUGGACGACCAAGGCGACGACGGGUAGCCGGCCUGAGAGGGGUGACCGGCCACACUGGGACUGAGAUACGGCCCAGACUCCUACGGGAGGCAGCAGUGGGGAAUAUUGCACAAUGGGCGCAAGCCGGAUGCAGCGACGCCGCGUGAGGGAUGACGGCCUUCGGGUUGUAAACCUCUUUCAGCACCGACGAAGCGCAAGUGACGGUAGGUGCAGAAGAAGGACCGGCCAACUACGUGCCAGCCGCCGCAGUAA
RNAcentral lists this ribosomal RNA (479 nucleotides) under uncultured bacterium. Its description in RNAcentral is "partial 16S ribosomal RNA". It matches the Rfam family "Bacterial small subunit ribosomal RNA", at positions 28 to 523 of the family's 1533-position model. The record is from RNAcentral.